RNAcentral lists this ribosomal RNA (253 nucleotides) under uncultured bacterium. RNAcentral's name for it is "partial 16S ribosomal RNA". It matches the Rfam family "Bacterial small subunit ribosomal RNA", at positions 524 to 776 of the family's 1533-position model. The record is from RNAcentral.
UACGGAGGGGGCUAGCGUUGUUCGGAAUUACUGGGCGUAAAGCGCACGUAGGCGGACUGUUAAGUCGGGGGUGAAAUCCUGGGGCUCAACCCUCGAAUGCCGGUGGAUACUGUCGGGCUAGAGUGCGGAAGAGGCGAGUGGAAUUCCUGGUGUAGCGGUGAAAUGCGCAGAUAUCAGGAGGAACACCUAUUGCGAAGGCAGCUCGCUGGGACGUAACUGACGCUGAGACGCGAAAGCGUGGGGAGCAAACAGG